Molecule: non-coding RNA, 288 nt
Organism: Canis lupus familiaris (dog)
Lineage: Eukaryota; Metazoa; Chordata; Mammalia; Carnivora; Canidae
Source: Rfam
GGAUGUGAGGGCAAUCUGGCUGCGACAUCUGUCACCCCAUUGAUCGCCAGGGUUGAUUCGGCUGAUCUGGCUGGCUAGGCGGGUGUCCCCUUCCUCCCUCACCGCUGCUCCCUCCCGAAGCUGUGCACGGUCGUAGAGGGCGACCGUUCUUCGGUAUACAAGUAGCUGCGCUCCCCUGCUAGAACCUCCAAACAAGCUCUCAAAAUACAUAAUUUUAGUAUCUUAAUAGUAUUAUAGGAUUCUAUAAAAAGAAAAUUGUUACAGACUAACAGUGUAGUGUGUAUUACU